UAUCACCAGGGUCUAAUGUGAUUUUGAGUUCAGAAUCCACCUAUAAAUUGAAAGUGGAAGCUGAACAGUCUUGUAAGAAGGAGGAGAGAAUCCAUUAGUUUGUUCAACAAAUAUUUAUCAACUGGCAGCUGAGCUACUUCUCGGCAAUAGAGGGAGGCACGAAGCCAAGUGCCUCUCUUAUGGGCCGUUCUCACCCAGGGAGUGGGGAGAGAUAGAUUAGAGUGAGUGUGUGUAUAGCUAUGGACAGAUAUGGGGUGUGCUGUGAAGAAGGCAUGGAGAAGCCGAGAGUGCUGGAGGACCAUCAGCAACUCAAAGGCAGCUGCAUCUGCCCAGCCCAGCCCAGCCCAGCGUGAGCGGCAAUCACAAACUGGCAUCUGCAUUCUUGGGGCUCCUGCUGGACUCACUAAAGUGCUCACUGCCUCACUAUGUUUGGAGCCCAGGGAGCCUUGAGGAGGGACUCUGUGAUGCAGAACUAGCUCUAUCAGCUUUCUGAACCUUCUAUCUCCCCCAGAAGUAAAUGCUUGAAUCCAGAAGGAUUUACACAAUACAAGCCUUUAACAAAAUAAAAUUUCUGAAUAAAA
Long non-coding RNA from Psammomys obesus (fat sand rat), 581 nucleotides. RefSeq lists it as uncharacterized. NCBI's taxonomy places the organism in Eukaryota, Metazoa, Chordata, Mammalia, Rodentia, Muridae. The record is from RefSeq and is a predicted model, not a curated record. The transcript has 2 exons.